GACAGAGGUUGCAAACGUUGUUCGGAAUCACUGGGCAUAAAGCGCACGUAGGCGGGUUUUUAAGUCAGGGGUGAAAUCCUGGAGCUCAACUCCAGAACUGCCUUUGAUACUGAAGAUCUUGAGUUCGGGAGAGGUGAGUGGAACUGCGAGUGUAGAGGUGAAAUUCGUAGAUAUUCGCAAGAACACCAGUGGCGAAGGCGGCUCACUGGCCCGAUACUGACGCUGAGGCACGAAAGCCAGGGGAGCAAACGGG
This 253-nucleotide ribosomal RNA is filed under the name uncultured bacterium. RNAcentral's name for it is "partial 16S ribosomal RNA". It matches the Rfam family "Bacterial small subunit ribosomal RNA", at positions 524 to 776 of the family's 1533-position model. The record is from RNAcentral.